GAAGAAAGCUUGGCACCGAGAAGCAGAAGGAGGCAGCACACACAGGGUGACUAACAGGCAAACAUCAUGAUCAGACUGCAAAGAAAAGUCCUGAUUCCCACACACAGAGGCGGCAACAGCAUACUAACUUACGGUGGGUGAUCAUCUACUGUCUCCAUCUCACCGUCAGGACAAGAUAACUACAAAUACUCCAAAACUUCAAGGCAUCUUUUCAAUGAAAAGACACAGAGACCUAAAUUGUAUUUACAAGGAAAGAUCUUACAAAUUAUUUGAAGAUGCUAAAGAAUAGCAUUGAAUCAGAAAUAAACAGCACACGUCCAAGUAAAAAAUAGACAUUAAAAACAUAUAAUCUACUUAAAGACUUACAUAGUAAAGU
Molecule: long non-coding RNA, 376 nt
Organism: Bufo bufo (common toad)
Lineage: Eukaryota; Metazoa; Chordata; Amphibia; Anura; Bufonidae
Exons: 3
Source: RefSeq, a predicted model, not a curated record